This 253-nucleotide ribosomal RNA is filed under the name uncultured bacterium. RNAcentral describes it as "partial 16S ribosomal RNA". It matches the Rfam family "Bacterial small subunit ribosomal RNA", at positions 524 to 776 of the family's 1533-position model. The record is from RNAcentral.
UACGGAGGGUGCAAGCGUUGUUCGGAAUCACUGGGCGUAAAGCGCGUGUAGGCGACUAUCUAAGUCUGAUGUGAAAGCCCUGGGCUCAACUCAGGAAGUGCAUUGGAUACUGGAUAGCUGGAGUACCGGAGAGGAGGGUGGAAUUCCUGGUGUAGCGGUGAAAUGCGUAGAUAUCAGGAGGAACACCGGUGGCGAAGGCGGUUCUCUGGGACGGUACUGACGCUGAGACGCGAAAGCGUGGGGAGCGAACAGG